CGACCACCGAGAUCUACACUCUUUCCCUACACGACGCUCUUCCGAUCUGUUCUGUUGUAGGUUGAAGUAUUAGCGGAAGCGGGUAUGGACGAAGCAGAAGUGAGAAUGUCGGCUUGAGUAACGAAAAUAUAGGUGAGAAUCCUAUACCCCGAAAACCCAAGGUUUCCUCCGGAAGGCUCGUCCGCGGAGGGUAAGUCAGGACCUAAGGCGAGGCUGAAAAGCGUAGUCGAUGGAUAACGGGCUAAUAUUCCCGUACCAUUAUUUGUUGAUAUCGAGGGACGGAGAAGGCUAAGCUGGCCGGAUUUUGGUUACCGGUUUAAACGUUCGAGAUGAUGAGAAACGGCGAAAACGUUUUGAGUUGAGGCGUGAAUACGAGAUACUACGGUGUCGAAGCAGUCUAUGUCAUACUUCCAAGAAAAGCUUGCACUGUCAUAAACAAAUAAUGCCUGUACCAUAACCGACACAGGUGGGUAGGUAGAGUAUACUAAGGGGCGCGAGAUAACUCUCUCUAAGGAACUCGGCAAAAUGACUCCGUAACUUCGGGAGAAGGAGUGCCUUAUUUAUAAGGUUGCAAUAACAAGAUCCAAGCAACUGUUUACCAAAAACACAGGUCUCCGCUAAGUCGUAAGACGAUGUAUGGGGGCUGACGCCUGCCCAGUGCCAGAAGGUUAAAGAAGUUGGUUAGCGCAAGCGAAGCUGGUAACUGAAGCCCUGGUGAACGGCGGCCGUAACUAUAACGGUCCUAAGGUAGCGAAAUUCCUUGUCGGGUAAGUUCCGACCCGCACGAAAGGCGUAAUGAUUUGGAUACUGUCUCGGAGAGGGACUCGGUGAAAUAGACUUGUCUGUGAAGAUGCGGACUACUUGCACCAGGACAGAAAGACCCUAUGAAGCUUUACUGUAACCUGAAAUUGAAAUUGGACUUUACUUGCGCAGGAUAGGUGGGAGGCUUUGAGAGUAUUCUUGCGGGAAUACUGGAGCCAUCAGUGAGAUACCACUCUGGUAAUGUUAGAUUUCUAACUUUGUAUCAUUAUCUGGUCAAAGAACAGUUUCAGGCGGGCAGUUUGACUGGGGCGGUCGCCUCCUAAACGGUAACGGAGGCGCACAAAGGUUUCCUCUGAACGGGUAGAAAUCGUAUCUAGAGUGUAAAGGCAUAAGGAAGCUUGACUGUGAGACCUACAAGUCGAGCAGGGACGAAAGUCGGUCUUAGUGAUCUGACGGUGCUGAGUGGAAAGGCCGUCACUCAACGGAUAAAAGUUACUCUA
RNAcentral lists this ribosomal RNA (1262 nucleotides) under seawater metagenome. RNAcentral describes it as "bacterial LSU rRNA". It matches the Rfam family "Bacterial large subunit ribosomal RNA", at positions 834 to 2470 of the family's 2925-position model. The record is from RNAcentral.